UACGGAGGAUCCAAGCGUUAUCCGGAUUUAUUGGGUUUAAAGGGUGCGUAGGCGGAUUGAUAAGUUAGAGGUGAAAUGUCCGAGCUCAACUCGGGAACUGCCUCUAAUACUGUUGAUCUAGAGAGUAGAUGCGGUAGGCGGAAUGUAUGGUGUAGCGGUGAAAUGCUUAGAGAUCAUACAGAACACCGAUUGCGAAGGCAGCAUGCCGGCUCCACACUGACGCUGAGGCACGAAAGCGUGGGUAUCGAACAGG
RNAcentral lists this ribosomal RNA (253 nucleotides) under uncultured Rikenellaceae bacterium. RNAcentral describes it as "partial 16S ribosomal RNA". It matches the Rfam family "Bacterial small subunit ribosomal RNA", at positions 524 to 776 of the family's 1533-position model. The record is from RNAcentral. Lineage: Bacteria; Pseudomonadati; Bacteroidota; Bacteroidia; Bacteroidales; Rikenellaceae.